RNAcentral lists this ribosomal RNA (307 nucleotides) under Pholcus sp. SMF422. RNAcentral describes it as "partial 12S ribosomal RNA". Lineage: Eukaryota; Metazoa; Arthropoda; Arachnida; Araneae; Pholcidae. The record is from RNAcentral.
GGUAGUUAGUAAACCAUUAUAUACUGGCGGUCUAUACAAAUUAGAGAAACUCGCUUUAUAAUCGUAAAUACCCGAUAAGUUUAACCUGAGUCAUGAUUCGCCUAUAUACCGCCGUAAAGAAUCUAAUUAAUAUUCCAAAUUCACCACACUCCUUAUACUUAAAAUCAGGUCAAGGUGUAGCUAAUACUCAGGAAAAAGUAAGUUACACUAAAAACAAUUUAAGAACAAUAUUCCCAAGCUGAUUAGAAAAAGAAUUUAAACGUACAUAUAAAUUAAAAUUUUAUAUAGAAUUAUAGAGUAAAGAUGC